GUGGAUUUCCCGGGGGAAAGGUGGCGGCAGCCCUGCUCGGCCGGAAAGUUCCUGACUCCAGCGUUUGCUAGCAGCCUCGCCCGGUCUGUCCUUUCCUCGGGUCCAGGAGCUGUGCCCCCGUCUCUUCCGCCCACCCAUCACCUGUAUCUCUGCUCCUAUUCCCGUCGUCCCAGAAAAGGAAAGAGCUGCCAUGUUUCCUGCUUCUGUGAAGAGCUCGCUCUGUCACGCUCGCAAGGUAAAAACAGUGACUCGAUCAGGUCUGACAAUAAGGCAGUCAACAAAUUCAAAGACUCUCAGCUGAUUCUGCAGUUUUAGUUUCCCCAUGUGGCUAAGAAGAUGGCUAAUGCAAGUCCCAAAAUUUCAUCUUCCCAGCUUUGGAACUCCAGCAAGAAAAGGGCAUUUA
Molecule: non-coding RNA, 403 nt
Organism: Miniopterus natalensis
Lineage: Eukaryota; Metazoa; Chordata; Mammalia; Chiroptera; Miniopteridae
Source: RefSeq, a predicted model, not a curated record